Molecule: transfer RNA, 57 nt
Filed under: Trouessartia rubecula
Lineage: Eukaryota; Metazoa; Arthropoda; Arachnida; Sarcoptiformes; Trouessartiidae
Description: tRNA-Trp
Source: RNAcentral
AGAGCUUUAAGUUAAAAUAAACUAUACGUCUUCAAAACGUAAAAUAAUUAAGCUUUU